GGGAGCACUCGAAAGACUAUCAGAUGUCUGUCAGGUAAGCCAUGAAAAGAUGGAAUAAAUAAGUGGGGUGGGGGGCUUGAAGAGUUUUAAGUAGCCAAAUUUCCAGGAAUGAGGAAGGCAAAGCAUCCUGAGGUCCCUCAGAAUAUCUGUUCAUAGGAUCUGUGGGUUGGACUAAGCUCAUUCUGGAUCUGUGACAUUUCUUGUCCAGCACUGGCCAGUGUGGCCCACCUGUAGUAAGUCCUAUAGAUUGUAAAAUGCAUAAAAGUGGGCUCUGAGAUUAAACCAUUCUCAGCUCAGGGAUGUUUAAUUUGUUUCAGUUCUUUGGAUUCCCACAUUGCUCCUUUGGUGCUCAUGAGAAGAAAGAAAAAAAUAGCAGUUUGAUAACAGUUGGAGUCUGACUACCCAGGCUUUUUUAAAUUAUCAGUACUGAGGUCAAUGGUUGGGGCAAAGCUGGAGUUAGCGAGGCUCGUAGAAUUUCUUCUUUUGAUCUGCCUGGGUAUCUGUUGUUCCAGCAGUGCUCUCCAGCAAUCCUGUAAGGAAAGGAAAAGCUAUCCACGAACUCUUCAUCUAGUUGGUAGCAACCACCAGCAGCAGGAAGGAAGCCGCGCCACUGUCUGCUUUGAGGUUUUCUAGCAGAUAAAAUGAUGCUUUCUGUCCAUAACAUCAAGGAAUAUUGCCAUACAGGUUCAAAUGGCUCAUGUAGAGUUUACAUCUUUUACUUUUCACUGUUAGGGUUUGUUCAAAGAGCAGGAAAGGCAAUUAAAAAUAAUAAAAAACGUGCUGAGUCCUGUAAGGACACACAAGGAUUAACAUUCAUGGAGAUUUACCAGUGCAAAAUAUCCACCAAGUUAACCUGCCAGCUUUUGUCAUGGAGAAUGGAGGUACCAUCCUCUUCUUUCUGAUUACCCUUCAUAGAGCAAAACAAGUGCAUGUAAUAAAAACACAACUCUGUGAUCAUAUCACCCAAGACCCAAAUAUUUUAUAUUUUUUGUGCUUUCAUUUCCAUUUUCAUAUGUGAAAUUAACAGUUUGAAAAAUUCUUAAGCUGAUACAGCUUUCCUUCGCAUCAGUUAGACUUGCAAACAUCAUAGAAUUGUCUGGGGUGAAGAAUACAACUGCAGGGUCAUUGAGAUGUCAUCAGCAUCACUUUAGUGCCGAGAGAGCUCCUCCUGUAGUCUGGCGGAUUUUUCUUUCCUUUGUGCUAUCACAGGUUUUAUUUCUAUCUUAGCAGUGUCUCUUCCAGUAAGUAUGAAAAACUACUGGCUUGUGCUAGACCACUGCAUGAGUUCAUUACUAAAGCAAUGUUUCUGGCAUGGCACUUAGGCCUUCAUACAAUUUAUUCUGCAGGGUUUUUUUCCAAUUUUUAUCUUCAAGCCUACACCUGAGAGAAAUUUCAGCAACUUGAAGCUGUAAGAAGGGAUCACUAUGCUUUGUUUUAUUUUUAGCAUAUUCAUAUUGUUCAAACUUUUUGGUCUGCUACACCCAUAUAUCUCCCAGAAGAAUAUUGUUUUGAGAGGAAGAGAGUCAUUGAAAGUAGUCCAAUGGGACUGAAAUCACCGGCAUUUGUGAAGAUAAGUUACUUACCUAAGCCAGAAGUUUUAGCACAAGUUUCUACAAUUUACAAAUUUGCUGCUAUUUCUGUAGGGCUCAAUUUCAGGAUCCUUCUUCAGCCAGCUCAUUCUUGAAUUUUCCACUUUUUUUUUUCCACAUUCCCAAUCUGCUGCACCCCCAAUCCAUGUUUAUACCAGCCUUAGGUAGGUGUUGGCAAGUAUUUUAAUGACAGUGUAGAUGGUUUCCACAGUGCUGAGGUCUGGUUACAACUAUUAUGUAGGAAAAAAGAUAUCUCAGUAUCACUGGUUCCCUUAAACUGGCAAGAAAAAAUAAGAGAAAAACAAAUAGUUGGGCUGCUGGGAGAGAAGAGAGCAAGAGACUUAAGCCUUUAAUACCAUUACUACGAAAACAAGAUCAAGCUGCUUGGGAGCUGACACAUUACUACAGGUUGGUAGCCAUGCAUAAGAUGACAGUGGUGAUUGCGUGUGGCUCUGAAAGAAACAAUGAAUUUAGAAGACUUGACAUAGAUCAUUUCAUCUGAGGCCAUGGGUUUUGCUUUUCCCAUGCAUUUGAAUUGCCUUUCACAAAGCUAUCUUCCAGUAGCACGGUUCCCAAUGGACAAGCACUAACUAGGAUAACAAGUCAAUAAACACUCCCUUUCCUUCCAAACUCACUACAGGUCAUGUAGGCAUCAAUUACUCUGUUUCUCCAUUCUACAGCAGAGGGUCUAAAACCUGAAGAAGAUUAGCGCCAGAGUGAACUAAAUACCAAACGUGCCUUGCAGUGCUAGAAUCCCUAGGUUUUUAAGUGCCCAGCUGGAAGCAUUCAGGCCAAGAUUCAGCCCAUACGAUGUGGCAGCUGUCUGAAACCCACAGUGUUGGAGUUGGUCCCCUUAGUUUCCUUUGAUAGUUGAUCAAGCAAGCAGGACUUCUGCAGAGAGCAUUUCUGUUCACCUAAACCCUACAUGACCCCUUGCUCUCUGUCUACGAGGGAAGGUUACAGUGCUGAUGGUCCCCAAAUGGGUGCCUCAGGUGUAGACCUGCCCAAAGUAACAUGGGAAACAAAUUGUGCCAGUGAGCAUCAGUUUUAGAGCUACCACCUCUUCAGUUAAGAUUGCAGGCGUCAAAAUCCCCUGGAAGCUAAGCAGAAAGUGCUGCAAUACCAUAUACUCAAUAUUAGCUGACAAACUUGGAAACAACUAUCUACAUGAUGGAAAAUGUGUGGGUGGAUCAGCCAUGGUAGGGGAAUGAUUUGUGGAUUCUGGAGAUUGUGAUGCACGUUGUGGCAGACAGCUUGUGCUGACAGCCAGGAAAGCACUCAUUCUUAGCAUAAAGCUGGGGGCUUCAUGAUGGUUAAAAUAAUACCCCUGACAUUGCUGGUCAAGUUGUGCAGUGUUUGUUGCACUGCAUUAUCACUGUGCAUCUCUGCCAAAAGCAGAGGCAGCAUUUGCAAUGUGCCAGCCAGCACUUUUCCAAAAGUGCAGGUAAAAAAAUCCAUGAGAAAGAAGGAGAAAAAAAAAUCAAAACCCAAAACACAAGAACAGCCGUUCAUGUGUGUUUCUUCUUAAGAUUCAAACUUCAUUCCCUUUCUGUCAUGACCAAGGUGAUUCUACAUUCUCCAGGGGACAACUGGGAUGUCGUGACCUUUAGGGUGAACCGUGCAUGAAGCAAGGCUUGUAAUUUUCUUGCAAGGUUUGUGGCACUGAAGGGUUUUGAAUCUUCAGCUUACCACCCUGUCAGUACAUUAUCUGACUGGCUGGACUUCUAACUGAACUAAUACUGAACUCUUUGGCUUCUCUCCCCAGGUUGGGGAAAGAUCCUUAAGUAACAUUUCAGGAAAGAAAAAAGAAAAAUGUGUCUUUCCUUCUGCUGCCACAUCUCCCAAGCACCUCCCCCUCCUGGGUGAGACUGAGGCAACUUGCAUUUAACACAAACCACUUAGUUUACCUGUAUGCUUCAGUCCAUGUGUAAGUUUUCUAGGUGACAAUUUUAUCGGGGAAAAUGCUGUUUAGAUUGUGUGCACAAAAUAAAUGGCUUGUAAAUAUUAAAAAAAAAAAAAAGAAAAAAGUUAAUUUUCAGUUGUGCAAUAAAAUUGUGAAAUAAUCCUC
Molecule: long non-coding RNA, 3657 nt
Organism: Strigops habroptila (Kakapo)
Lineage: Eukaryota; Metazoa; Chordata; Aves; Psittaciformes; Psittacidae
Source: Ensembl